AACGAACGCUGGCGGAAGGCUUAACACAUGCAAGUCGAGCGCUCACUUCGGUGGGAGCGGCAGACGGGUGAGUAACGCGUGGGAAUCUACCUGGUACUACGGAAUAACACAGAGAAAUUUGUGCUAAUACCGUAUACGCCCUUCGGGGGAAAGAUUUAUCGGUAUCAGAUGAGCCCGCGUUUGAUUAGCUAGUUGGUGGGGUAAUGGCUCACCAAGGCUACGAUCAAUAGCUGGUCUGAGAGGAUGAUCAGCCACACUGGGACUGAGACACGGCCCAGACUCCUACGGGAGGCAGCAGUGGGGAAUAUUGGACAAUGGGCGAAAGCCUGAUCCAGCCAUUCCGCGUGAGUGAUGACGGCCCUAGGGUUGUAAAGCUCUUUCAACGGUGAAGAUAAUGACGGUAACCGUAGAAGAAGCCCCGGCUAACUUCG
RNAcentral lists this ribosomal RNA (431 nucleotides) under uncultured Phyllobacteriaceae bacterium. RNAcentral describes it as "bacterial SSU rRNA". It matches the Rfam family "Bacterial small subunit ribosomal RNA", at positions 29 to 505 of the family's 1533-position model. The record is from RNAcentral. Lineage: Bacteria; Pseudomonadati; Pseudomonadota; Alphaproteobacteria; Hyphomicrobiales; Phyllobacteriaceae.